UGGCACAGCACACAGUAAUUUACCACCUAUUUAUCCACCUCUCAAUUUACCCUCUGUUCCUGAUAACAAGGAGGACAAGGGGCACAAAUGGGACUCGGAUUUUACAUGUGGCCACUAUUGAAUCAAGGGCUGCCUAAUCUUCAGAGGGAGGUGCUAAUACGUUAUCUGGAUUUGCUGAUGAUGGACAUGAGAGGUUAAGACUCCUGCCCGACACCACACAGCUCCCGCAGGCCAAACAGCAUGGGAACAACUGGGGAAGAAAGGAAAAGAUUAUGGUCCAUCCCUCUCCUAUGUGCUCUGCCCUUCUGCCAAGACGCUUCAGUAACUUCCAGGUCCAUCCUCCUACAUUCCUCCUCCUGGCCCCACUGCCUUUCUUCCAACCUCCAUCUGCAACUGGAAAGCCCAAAUACUGUAGGUGCCUGACGUUCCCCUUGGAGACACUCGCUGUAACUCACUGCCAGCUUUCACGCUCAGACUGGGAACAUCUGUCCCAGUGUCUGAGCAUCAGUCAGGUAAAACACCUGUAUCUGAAGGGAGUCAGACUGACUGUUUAGUGCUGAGCCCCUCUGAGUUCUGCUGGAUAAAGUUUCAGGCACCCUGAACACCCUGCACCUCACGGCCUGUGGAAUCAGACUCCCAGCUCAGUGCCAUCCUGCCUUCCUGUGCUGCUGCUCCCAGCUCACCAGCUUCAGCUACAUAAAGAACUGCACUGCUGUGGCCACCUUGGAUAAGCUGCUGUACCACACUGCUAAGCUGAGUAACUUAAACCAGGAGCAGUACUCUAUUCCGCAGGACAUUUUUCUUCUCCGGGAUUCUGUCCACCCACUGAGACUGGACCAGGUUCAUGAUGCACUGAUGAGGAUUGUGCAAUCAUCUCGACUCCUCCUUACUCAGUUGACCUUGUUUCCAGAUUAGAC
This 917-nucleotide long non-coding RNA is filed under the name Heterocephalus glaber (naked mole-rat). RNAcentral describes it as "lncRNA (ENSHGLG00100030083.2)". The record is from RNAcentral. Lineage: Eukaryota; Metazoa; Chordata; Mammalia; Rodentia; Bathyergidae.